CAGCAGCCGCCGCGGUAAUACGUAGGGUCCGAGCGUUGUCCGGAAUUAUUGGGCGUAAAGAGCUUGUAGGCGGUUUGUCGCGUCUGCUGUGAAAACCCGAGGCUCAACCUCGGGCCUGCAGUGGGUACGGGCAGACUAGAGUGCGGUAGGGGAGAUUGGAACUCCUGGUGUAGCGGUGGAAUGCGCAGAUAUCAGGAAGAACACCGAUGGCGAAGGCAGAUCUCUGGGCCGUUACUGACGCUGAGGAGCGAAAGCAUGGGGAGCGAACAGGAUUAGAUACCCCGGUAGUCCCUGUCUCUUAUAC
This 304-nucleotide ribosomal RNA is filed under the name uncultured bacterium. Its description in RNAcentral is "partial 16S ribosomal RNA". It matches the Rfam family "Bacterial small subunit ribosomal RNA", at positions 506 to 807 of the family's 1533-position model. The record is from RNAcentral.